This 131-nucleotide non-coding RNA is filed under the name Steroidobacter denitrificans. RNAcentral describes it as "SAM-I sequence". It matches the Rfam family "SAM riboswitch aptamer (S box leader)". From Rfam's summary of the family: The SAM riboswitch is found upstream of a number of genes which code for proteins involved in methionine or cysteine biosynthesis in Gram-positive bacteria. The SAM riboswitch acts at the level of transcription termination control. The predicted structure consists of a complex stem-loop region followed by a single stem loop terminator region. Lineage: Bacteria; Pseudomonadati; Pseudomonadota; Gammaproteobacteria; Steroidobacterales; Steroidobacteraceae. The record is from Rfam by way of RNAcentral.
CGCUCAUCGAGACCGGCUGAGGGUCAGGCCCAUUGACGCCGGGGCAACCGUCGAAUCCAACCCAUUCGAAAAGGUGCCAACUCCUGCGGGUGUUCCUGCCAAACGGCGGGAACAUGCCCGGCAGAUGAGUU